AGUGAGCUGAACACAUCCGACAUUGUACGGAGCAGCAGGAACAGCUGGUAAGCUAGCAAGCGGCAACGGCCCAGCGAGGAGCGUGGAUGCUAAUGAGCCUGGCGACAAUGCCGGCCUUCAGAGGGGCUGGCCUUGUGACCUGCUGUGGCCAAAUAGUUCUGAGACUUCCAAAGUGCUAUUGUGAAGAAGCUGGCACCUCCACCUGGAUCUCUGGAGCCUGUAGCAGCCAUGUCAGAAGCCUGACUGCUGCGAGAAGACCCAAACUAGCCAAGUGGAGGGGCUGCUGAGCCAGGUAUGCCUGGCCAGCCCCAAGCUGUUCCAGCUAUGCCAAUG
Molecule: long non-coding RNA, 333 nt
Filed under: Homo sapiens (human)
Lineage: Eukaryota; Metazoa; Chordata; Mammalia; Primates; Hominidae
Description: non-protein coding lnc-INSM1-8:1
Source: RNAcentral